RNAcentral lists this ribosomal RNA (408 nucleotides) under uncultured bacterium. RNAcentral describes it as "bacterial SSU rRNA". It matches the Rfam family "Bacterial small subunit ribosomal RNA", at positions 103 to 507 of the family's 1533-position model. The record is from RNAcentral.
CGGGUGAGUAAUAUAUCGGAACGUACCCAAGAGUGGGGGAUAACGUAGCGAAAGUUACGCUAAUACCGCAUACGAUCUAAGGAUGAAAGCAGGGGACCGCAAGGCCUUGUGCUCCUGGAGCGGCCGAUAUCUGAUUAGCUAGUUGGUGAGGUAAAGGCUCACCAAGGCGACGAUCAGUAGCUGGUCUGAGAGGACGACCAGCCACACUGGAACUGAGACACGGUCCAGACUCCUACGGGAGGCAGCAGUGGGGAAUUUUGGACAAUGGGCGCAAGCCUGAUCCAGCAAUGCCGCGUGAGUGAAGAAGGCCUUCGGGUUGUAAAGCUCUUUUGUCAGGGAAGAAACGGGAGUGGCUAAUAUCUGCUUCUAAUGACGGUACCUGAAGAAUAAGCACCGGCUAACUACGUG